UUAAUAGCUAAACUUGCAGGAUUUUUGCUCCCGGUACCUGCGAUUUUUACCUAUGCCCAGUGCCAAGACCGCAGGUACUACCUACGCCUUGUACCAAACCGCAGGUACAGAUAAUAUAUGGCUAUUGACAUGGUUUCCUCCUUUUUUUUCAAGAUUUGGUUUAAGGUGUUUCCUCUUGUAUUAUAAAUACCCUUUAUGUAUAUUUUAGUUAGAGUUACUGUCAUACCC
RNAcentral lists this long non-coding RNA (228 nucleotides) under Capsicum annuum. RNAcentral describes it as "long non-coding RNA (CANN_LNC001749)". Lineage: Eukaryota; Viridiplantae; Streptophyta; Magnoliopsida; Solanales; Solanaceae. The record is from RNAcentral.